Molecule: transfer RNA, 86 nt
Filed under: Denitromonas iodatirespirans
Lineage: Bacteria; Pseudomonadati; Pseudomonadota; Betaproteobacteria; Rhodocyclales; Zoogloeaceae
Description: Denitromonas sp. IR12 tRNA-Leu
Rfam family: tRNA
About the family: Transfer RNA (tRNA) molecules are approximately 80 nucleotides in length. Their secondary structure includes four short double-helical elements and three loops (D, anti-codon, and T loops).
Source: RNAcentral
GCCCGGAUGGUGAAAUUGGUAGACACAAGGGACUUAAAAUCCCUCGGCCUUUGGCUGUACGGGUUCGACCCCCGUUCCGGGCACCA